UGAUCCGGUGGUUCUGAAUGGAAGGGCCAUCGCUCAACGGAUAAAAGGUACUCCGGGGAUAACAGGCUGAUACCGCCCAAGAGUUCAUAUCGACGGCGGUGUUUGGCACCUCGAUGUCGGCUCAUCACAUCCUGGGGCUGAAGUAGGUCCCAAGGGUACGGCUGUUCGCCGUUUAAAGUGGUACGCGAGCUGGGUUUAGAACGUCGUGAGACAGUUCGGUCCCUAUCUGCCAUGGGCGUAGGAAAAUUGAGAGGGUUUGCUUCUAGUACGAGAGGACCGAAGUGAACGCACCGCUGGUGUUCGGGUUGUGAUGCCAAUUGCAUUGCCCGGUAGCUACGUGCGGAAUAGAUAAGUGCUGAAAGCAUCUAAGUACGAAACUAGCCUCGAGAUGAGUUUUCCCUGAAGAGAUUCAGUAAGGUCCGUUUGAGACUAAGACGUAGAUAGGUCAGGUGUGUAAGUGUAGUGAUACAUUGAGCUAACUGAUACUAAUGAACCGAGAGUCUUAACCUUACAACUC
This 517-nucleotide ribosomal RNA is filed under the name Gilliamella apicola. RNAcentral describes it as "bacterial LSU rRNA". It matches the Rfam family "Bacterial large subunit ribosomal RNA", at positions 2416 to 2925 of the family's 2925-position model. RNAcentral also lists the same sequence under 1 other name. Lineage: Bacteria; Pseudomonadati; Pseudomonadota; Gammaproteobacteria; Orbales; Orbaceae. The record is from RNAcentral.